RNAcentral lists this small nuclear RNA (177 nucleotides) under Puccinia triticina 1-1 BBBD Race 1. Its description in RNAcentral is "U2 spliceosomal RNA". It matches the Rfam family "U2 spliceosomal RNA". Rfam says of the family: U2 is a small nuclear RNA (snRNA) component of the spliceosome (involved in pre-mRNA splicing). Complementary binding between U2 snRNA (in an area lying towards the 5' end but 3' to hairpin I) and the branchpoint sequence (BPS) of the intron results the bulging out of an unpaired adenosine, on the BPS, which initiates a nucleophilic attack at the intronic 5' splice site, thus starting the first of two transesterification reactions that mediate splicing. Lineage: Eukaryota; Fungi; Basidiomycota; Pucciniomycetes; Pucciniales; Pucciniaceae. The record is from Rfam by way of RNAcentral.
UCACCUUCCAUCCCGAUCAAGUAUCUGUUCUUAUCAGUGUAAUUACUGGUAUUGGUUCAUCAAACCAAUCAAUUAAUUACUCUUAUCUUUGCAAUGCCCUCAGCCAUGACCCGGCUUGCCGGAGUGGCUGGGACGAUGGCCUUGGGCUCACACUACUCCCUUGUGCUGUCAGGCAAG